CCCUCCAGAUGGGGACAACACUGCGAAAGUGGAUGGCUAAUACCGAAUGCGUAACCGAGAUUGCAUAAUCUUGGUUAGAAAGGUGGCCUCUAUUUAUAAGCUACCGCUGGAAGAUGGGUCUGCGUCUGAUUAGCUAGUGGUGAGGUAACGGCUCACCAAGGCGACGAUCAGUAGCCGGUCUGAGAGGAUGAACGGCCACACUGGGACUGAGACACGGCCCAGACUCCUACGGGAGGCAGCAGUGGGGAAUCUUCCGCAAUGGACGAAAGUCUGACGGAGCAACGCCGCGUGAGUGAAAGAAGGUUUUCGGAUCGUAAAGCUCUGUCUUUUGGGACGAAUGUGCUUCUUGUGAAUAAUGAGAGGUAAUGACGGUACCGAAGAAGGAAGCCACGGCUAACUACGUGCCAGCCGCCGC
This 415-nucleotide ribosomal RNA is filed under the name uncultured bacterium. Its description in RNAcentral is "bacterial SSU rRNA". It matches the Rfam family "Bacterial small subunit ribosomal RNA", at positions 129 to 518 of the family's 1533-position model. The record is from RNAcentral.